UACAGAGGUCUCAAGCGUUGUUCGGAUUCAUUGGGCGUAAAGAGCGUGUAGGCGGUCCGGUAAGUCAGCUGUGAAAGUCAAGGGCUCAACCCUUGAAAGCCGGUUGAUACUGUCGGGCUAGAGUCCGGAAGAGGCGAGUGGAAUUCCCGGUGUAGCGGUGAAAUGCGCAGAUAUCGGGAGGAACACCAAUGGCGAAGGCAGCUCGCUGGGACGGUACUGACGCUGAGACGCGAAAGCGUGGGGAGCAAACAGG
RNAcentral lists this ribosomal RNA (253 nucleotides) under uncultured bacterium. RNAcentral describes it as "partial 16S ribosomal RNA". It matches the Rfam family "Bacterial small subunit ribosomal RNA", at positions 524 to 776 of the family's 1533-position model. The record is from RNAcentral.